AGUGGGAAGGAGGCGGCCGCCUAGCAGACAGGAGAGCCGGGUCCAGCCUCCGUGAGCAUUAAUUAACGUGUGACUCAAAUGACGGGCCUGCAGCAGUCAAGCUUUUGCCAAGGUAAGUUCAUUGAAAUCAAUACUGCAAUCUGUACUGAAAUCUACCUGGGGAAGAAUAUCUGGUCAUAAAGAAUCUUCUUUCAUGUGACCUUGAUGUGUAAUAAAUAGGUUUUUUCUCUUUCUUCCCACAAGGGUCAAAGAGUGAUUGAGUUAUUGAAGAAAAUGGAUUAGCUAAUGCAAAUUAAAAUAAAUUGUCUAGAAAUUAAGCCAGUCCUAAACCCUUGCCCCAGAGAAGAGAUCGCUCAUAGGGCUCCUUUAUACAUGAGUUGUCUAAAGUGCUUGUUACUGUUCAUGGCAUGUGCUCAGUAUAUGACAGUUACUAUUAUGUGGUAAUAAUAGUAGCCUGAGAUCACCCCAAUUAGUAGGUAAUGACUAACUAAUAUAAAUGAAGUUUCUACUGGUCAUAAGCACAUGGCUAUGUAUGUUGCAUCACAUACUCAUAUCUCCACCAACCUGGGCAAGAGGGAUGUACACAUCAGGAUUAUUUUAGGACAGCAGGACCCCCCACCUCCCUUUCUUCCUUCCUAAGCCUGGAGAUGAGCAGCCCCUGAAGCAUUUGGUUAAAUACAAGUGAACUUCUGCACUCAGAGUUCUGUUAGGAAGGAGACAGGAGAUAUUGUUACCGAGUGGAAGCUCAUAUUGGCUCACUGCGGUGGCCAAUAAAUCCAGAGAGGAGGUGUUGGGGCAAGGAAUAGCAGCUUUAUUCAGAAAGGCAGCAGACCCAUAAGAUAGUGGACUUCUGUCCCAAAGGGUGAUCUUACUGGUUAGAAUUCAGGCUGCUUUUAUACUAAAAGGGUGAGGCGGAAUGUGUGUUUGGGGUGGCUGGUUGCUGCCAACCUCUUGAUGCACAAAUCCUUGUUCGUGCAGCUGUCCAGGUAGGACUGGUCACAGUUUUUUAUUUUCUGUUCGGCAACUUUUUAUCUCUAUAUGAAGGGGAAAAAGUGUCAAAACAUGGAGAAGGAACUGUCAGGUAUAUUUCAGGCUCUAGGCAACAUUCUUUUUGUACAAAAGGUGGAGAGUUGGCAUGAUUAAGCACAGGCAGCAGUGCACAAGGAUUAGAGCUAAAGGACUGGAUCCAGUAUGGAGUCAGGUUUGCUCUUUGUUAUAAUAUGACUACCAGACAGCAACUAACAGUGUCUAUCCUUACAGUUCUUAGCUUUUCCACCUCUUUUUCUGCUCCUCCUAGUGAAUUCCAUAGCCAUAUGGUUCUGAAUUUAGUAUAUGUGUGAUGAAGUGAGCAUUGAAUUUCCAUACGGAAAUAUUUUCUCUUCUGUAUGUAUACUCCGUGCUCUUUUAUGAUUUUAGACUUUCAUAUUUGUUCUUGCUUCUGCUUAUCAUUCUUCUGCCUUUCUCAUUGUAUGUCAUCAUCAUGAUUUAACCAGUGUCCUUUCACCCAUUUAUUCAUUCCAUCUACAGCUCACAAAUAUCCAAAUAUCCGUUAUAAGUCAGGCAUAUAGAAAUUAUGACAGCAGGGAUCGAACCCAGCGACCUCAUGGUUCCUAGUCGGAUUCAUUAACCACUGCACCACGACGGGAACUCCUUGUAGCCUACAUUUCAAGAGACCCUUCCUCUCCUGCUACUAAUGAUCGUCUGUGAAAUAAUUACAUGACCUUCACUGUCCCAGCAGAUAACUGGUGAAAGUUCAGAAGAGCCAUCUAGCUGACCAGUCCCUGAACAUGGACACAUGCCGACACCAGAGCCACAGCAACGCAGGAUCCAAGCCGCAUCUGCGACCUACACCACAGCUCACGGCAACACCAGAUCCUUAACCCACUGCGUGAGGCCAGGGAUCCAACCCAAAACCUCAUGGUUCCUAGUCGGAUUCAUUAACCACUGAGCCACGACAGGAAAUCCUUCUUUCUUUUAAAUUUUUUAAGAUUUUUAUUUUUUCUCUAUUAUAAUUGAUUUGCAAUGUUCUUUCAAUUUCUGCUAUAUAGCUAAAUGACCUAGUCAUAUAUAUAUUCUUCUUCUCACAUUAUCCUCCAUCAUGGUCUGUCACAAGUGACUAGAUAUAGUUCCCUGUGCUAAACAGGAUUCUCAUUGCUCAUCCACUCCGUUGCAUAUGUUUGCAUCUACUAACCCCAAACACCCAGUCCAUUCCACUCCCUCCCCCUCCCCCUUGGCAACCACAAGUCUGUUCUCCAAGUCCAUGAGUUUGUUUCUUUUCUGAAGAUAGGUUUUUUUGUGCCAUAUAUUAGAUUCUAGAUAUAUGUGAUAUCAUAUAGUCUUUCUCUUUCUGACUUACUUCACCUAGUGUGAGAUUCUUGAGUUCCAGCCAUGUUCCUGCAAAUGGCAUUAUUUUGUUCUUCUUUAUGGCUGAGUAAAAAAGUAUUUUUUUUCCCACUGUGUAUAUAUACCACAUCUUCUUAAUCCAUUCAUCUGUUGAUGGACAUUUAGGUUGUUUCCAUGUCUUGGCUAUUGUGAAGAGUGCUGCAGUGAACAUGCAGGUGCAUGUAUCUUUUUCAAUGAAAGCUUUGUCUGGAUAUAUGCCCAAGUGUGGGAUUGCUGGCUCACAUGGUAGUUCUAUAUUUAGUUUUCUAACAUACCUCCAUACUGUUUUCCAUAGUACCAUGAAUUUCUAAACUAUGAGAAUUCCUUUAGAUAUUGGAUUAUUCAUAUUUUAUAUUUAUGUGUAUUUUUAUAAUAUUGCCUUUCUGGCUGAAAUAGGUAUCUUAAAAAUAUUGGGUAAUCUCUAAGUCAUCUCAAGAGCUCUCAUAUUUAUUAGAAUAAAUGUAAACACAUAAUCAUAGUUUUGUAAAAUAUUAAUUUUAUGCAUGACAGACUCAAGUAAAGCUCCUCAACUGUGUGCCCUGGCACUCUCUUCAACACAUAUUGAUUAUAGGUUCACCAGCAUAUUGAUCCUCCGAUUGAAUGGAGGGCCUGACAGCCAGGGUUCCAGGUCAGUGCUGGAGCCCAUGUCAGCACUUUAGCUAUUUACACAAUAUGCUGGGUAAAUUGUGUCAUAUUCUACAUGGGCUGUCAGAAAAAAACUUUUUGGAAACACUAAUUCCCAAGCUUUAGUAUGCAUAAGGCUCACCUGAGAAACUUGUUUAAAGAGAGCCUCCAUUCUUAGAAUUUCUGAUUCAGUCAAUGGGCAGGUGAGACCAGAAAUAUAUAUUACUAGGAAGCACCUCAGAUAUUUCUUUUUUUUUUUUUUUUUUUUUUGCCUUUUUUCCUAGGGCCGCUCCCACACCAUAUGGAGGUUCCCAGGCUAGGGGUCUAAUCGGAGCUGUAGCUGCCAGACUACGCCAGAGCCACAGCAACGCGGGAUCCAAGCCACGUCUGCAACCUACACCACAGCUCACAGCAAUGCUGGAUCCCUAACCCACUGAGCAAGGCCAGGGAUCGAACCUGCAACGUCAUGAUUCCUAGUUGGAUUCGUUAACCACUGCGCCACAACAGGAACUCCCCCAAAGCACCUCAGAUAUUUCUGAGGCACACAGUGAAAGGACUUAUGUUAUAAAGGACUUGAAUUUUUUUUGGGGGGGGGCACACCUGCAUAUGGAAGUUCCCAGGCUAGGGGUGGAAUCAGACCUGCAGCUGCCGGCCUACGCCACAGCCAUGGCAACGCCAGAUCCGAGCCACAUCUUCGAUCUACACCACAGCUCACGAUAACACCAGAUCCUUAAUCCACUGUGUGAGGUCAGGGAUCAAACCCACAUCCUCAUGGAUACUAGUCGGGCUCCUUACCACUGAGCCACAAGGGGAACUUCCAGGACUUCCUCUUUAAAAAUCAUUUUUGAUUAAUAGUCUCCAUUAACAGGAGAAAGGGAAACUUUUUUCCCCCCCCUUAGCAGCUUCUUUAUAGAUGUGAGAGCAUCCCAGGAGUUCUCUUUGAAUUUUUACUCCCUAGAUGAUUUACUUCUAGUGUCAUGGUUUUAAAUACCACCUAUAUGCUGGUGACUCCAAAGUUUAUACCUCCCAUCUGGACUUCUCCAGUGAACUCUGAACUUGAUUCUUUUAUUUACUGCUUGUCAUCACCAUUUGGAUUUACAACAAGUAGCUUAAAUUUGACAGGUCCAAAGCUGAAUCUUCUCCCCUAGAAGUUCCCAUUUUAAUCAAUGGCAUCUCCAUUCUACAUUCUCAGUUGUUCUGGCCAGAAGUCUUAGUGUCAUUCUUGUCAUCAUUCUCCCCACCCACCUCCAAAACAUCAGAACAGUCCCCACCUUUACCUUCAAAAUAUAAAGUCUUUACAAAGUCCUAAGUGUCCCAUCUUUUCCACUGCUACCUCCAGUCUAACCCACCAUGCUUUCUCAUCUAGACCAUUGCAGUUGCCCCCUUUUUCCACUCCUGCCCCAUUGACAAUGGAAUCUCUACACAGCAUCCAAAGUGAGUCCUCUGGACUGAAAGUCUGCAUCACCCCACAUGCAUAUAUUAAAACCUAGUCACGAAUGAGAUCAAAUAUUCUCUGCUCAUGAAUGAGAUCAAAUGUUCCCCCUUCCUCCAGGUGAGGACACAGCAAAACACCACCAGACACUGAAUCUGCUGGCCCCUUGAUCUUGGAUUUGCCAGCCUUCAGAACCAUGAUAAACAAAUUCCUGUUUGUUAUAAGCCACCCAGUCUAUGGUAUUUUUGCUCUAGCAGCCAGAAUGGACUAAGACAGGGAGGCUUUUAAAAAUCUAAGUUCCAUCCCCUUAGUCCUCCAUGCCACCCUUCCAAGGGCUGCCAUCUCACUCAGGGUAGGACCAGAGAUUCAUCAUAGUCUAUGAAAUGGUCUAUAUUUUUUCUUUUUCCACCAGCCCCUCCAUUCUCUCCCUCCCUCACACCUCUCCCGACAGACUCAUUUAUUUUUCAUUUAAACAAUUUAAAAAAUAGUCAUGCUUCUUUAUUGUCCAUUUAAUACUGCAAGCAGGCACCCACCUGAGGAACUUUGCACUCCCUCUUUCCUCAAUUAAUGAGGUUUAAUGUGACUUAAUCCUCAUUUCCUCCAGAUCUUUGGUCAAACGUCACCUUCUCAGAAGGAAACUUCUCUAACCACACCCCCACCACUCUCUACUCCCCUUACCCUGUUUUUGGUCCCAGCUAUGCAUCACUUGACAUUAACUUUUUCCUUGUCUACCUCUCUUCAAAAGACUCCAUGAGAGCAGGAAAUCUAUCUGUACCUAUAUUAUUCAUUGCCAUUUUCCCAGAAUGUAGAACCAUGUUUAACUCCGAAGAGAAACUCAGUGUUUCCAUCAGUAAGUGAAUAUAUUGAUAUCAUUUAUAUGCGAAGUCUGAAAUAAAUGAAUCUGUCUACAACACAGAAACAGACACACAGACAUAGAGAACAGACUUGUCGUUCCCAAGAGGGAGGGGGAGAGGAGGAGGGAAUGGGAUGGACUGGGAGUUUGGGGUUAGUAGAUGCAAACAACUAUGUCUAGAAUGGAUAAGCAAUGAGGCCCUGCUGCAUAGCAUGGGGAACUCUAUCCAAUCCCUUGGGAUAGAACAUGAUGGAAGAUAAUAUAAAAAAGGGAAAGUAUAUAUAUGUAUGGCUGGGUCACUUUGUGCACAGCAGAAGUUGGUACAACAUAGUAAAUCAACCAUACUUGAAUAAAAAAAUAAGUGCAUACAUGAAAAUAUAAUGUAAAAUAGAUGUUCAGUGACUAUUAGAGUAUCAUUUAGUCACUUAUUGAAAAAACUAUUAGAAAGAACCUGUCUCACCAUGCACACGAUAUCACAGGUGACCUGUGGAAUGAACAAAUAUUAAGAUAAAUUAACACAUUUUCUGAGCAAUACUGAGAGUAACUAGGAAAUAUUAGCCAUGGUUUACAGAGAGCUUUGUAUUGUACUAUAGGAUCCUCACAAGUAUACAGACAAGGAUGAGUAUACAUCCUUUUUACAGAUGAGGAAGUGUUACCAGAGGGUUAACGUUCCUCCUCUUUGCUCAAACAAAAUUAUAGGGCAGGGUAAUAGCAGGUGAGAUUUACUGUGCUUUCGUGACAUGCCUGGCUUUGCAUAAGUGGUUCUCAGACAUUAGGUCAAUGAAAUGCAUAGAAACCCUUGCUGGAACCUGCUGUCAUCACGUUGUGGCUGGAAAGGAAAACUGAGGUUGAAUUACAGUUCGCUAAGGUACGAUUCAAAAGUGGGCAGUCUGGAGUUCCUGCUGUGGCUCAGUGGUUAAAGAAUCUGACUAGGAACUAUGGGGUUGCGGGUUCGUUCCCUGGCCUUGUUCAGUGGGUUAAGGAUCCGGCGUUGCCGUGAGCUGUGGUGUAGUUUGCAGACGCGGCUCGGAUCCCACAUUGCUGUGGCUCUAGUGUAGGCUGGUGGCUACAGCCCCGAUUCGACCCCUAGCCUGGGAACCUCCAUAUGCCACGGAGCGGCCCAAGAAACAGCAAAAAAGAAACAGGAGUUCCUGUUGUGGCUCAGCCGGUAACGAACCCAACUAGUAUCCAUGAGGUUACCAGUUCGAUCUCUGACCUCCCCCAGGGGAUUAAGGAUCUAACGUUGCCUGGAGCUGUGGUGUAGGUCGCAGGCGCAGCUCGGAUUUGGCUGUGGCUGUGGCCAGCAGCUGCAGCUCCGAUUUGACCCCA
This 6620-nucleotide long non-coding RNA is filed under the name Sus scrofa (pig). Its description in RNAcentral is "lncRNA (ENSSSCG00015046048.1)". The record is from RNAcentral. Lineage: Eukaryota; Metazoa; Chordata; Mammalia; Artiodactyla; Suidae.